AUUGAACGCUGGCGGAAUGCUUUACACAUGCAAGUCGAACGAUGAACCUUAGCUUGCUAAGGGGAUUAGUGGCGAACGGGUGAGUAAUAUAUCGGAACGUGCCUUGUAAUGGGGGAUAACUAGUCGAAAGAUUAGCUAAUACCGCAUACGCCCUGAGGGGGAAAGUAGGGGAUCUUCGGACCUUACGUUAUAAGAGCGGCCGAUAUCUGAUUAGCUAGUUGGUGGGGUAAUGGCCUACCAAGGCGACGAUCAGUAGCUGGUCUGAGAGGACGACCAGCCACACUGGAACUGAGACACGGUCCAGACUCCUACGGGAGGCAGCAGUGGGGAAUUUUGGACAAUGGGCGCAAGCCUGAUCCAGCCAUGCCGCGUGAGUGAAGAAGGCCUUCGGGUUGUAAAGCUCUUUCGCAAGGGAAGAAAACUUACCAUCGAAUAAAUGGUGAGGCUGACGGUACCUUGAGAAGAAGCACCGGCUAACUACGUG
This 484-nucleotide ribosomal RNA is filed under the name uncultured bacterium. RNAcentral describes it as "partial 16S ribosomal RNA". It matches the Rfam family "Bacterial small subunit ribosomal RNA", at positions 30 to 507 of the family's 1533-position model. The record is from RNAcentral.